GAUGAACGCUGGCGGCGUGCCUAAUACAUGCAAGUCGAGCGCUCGGACGUGAUGCUUGUUUCUCUUAUGUUAGCGGCGGACGGGUGAGUAACACGUGGAUAACCUACCUUUAAGCCUGGGAUAACUUCGGGAAACCAGUGCUAAUACCGGAUGAUAUUUUUAACCGCAUGGUUCAAAAUUGAAAGACGCUCUUGCUUCCCCUUAUAGAUGUCUCCGCGCUGCUUUAGUUCUUUGUUAAGUAAAUGCUUUACCAAGCCAACGAUGCAUAGCGAACCUGAGAGGGGGAGGGGCAACACGGGAACGGGGACACGGUCCAGACUCCAACGGGAGGCAGCGGAAGGGAAUCUUGCGAAAGGGGCGAAGGCCGGACGGAGCAACGCCGCGUGAGUGAGGAAGGUCUUCGGAUCGAAAAACUCUGUGAUUAGGGAGGAACAUAGGGGUAAGGAACUGUGCACAACGUGACGGUACCUAAUCAGAAAGCGACGGCUAACUACGUG
Molecule: ribosomal RNA, 497 nt
Filed under: uncultured bacterium
Lineage: Bacteria
Description: partial 16S ribosomal RNA
Rfam family: Bacterial small subunit ribosomal RNA
Source: RNAcentral